This 477-nucleotide ribosomal RNA is filed under the name Triticum aestivum (bread wheat). RNAcentral describes it as "partial small subunit ribosomal RNA". Lineage: Eukaryota; Viridiplantae; Streptophyta; Magnoliopsida; Poales; Poaceae. The record is from RNAcentral.
AUGGCUCCGACAAGAUCCACACCGCCAAUGGAGCAGGAUCGGGGCACGAGGGACAUUCUUCUUAGUGGGCGGUUGUGCCAGGGCCUCUACCGUCUGGAGCAUCCUGGUGUCGCUCGUGUUUUCAGUGGAGUUCGGGUCUCUCCGUCACAGUGGCAUGCUCGUCUUGGUCACCCGGCCACACCUAUUGUCCGUCAUAUUUUGCGUCGUCAUGAGCUUCCUAGUUUGUCUAGUCAUAAAGAUGUAGCAGUGUGUGAUGCUUGUCAGCAGGGGAAGAGUCAUCAACUUCCUUUUUCGGAGUCCAGUCGUGAGGUGAAACAUCCUUUAGAACUUGUGUUUUCAGAUGUAUGGGGUCCUGCUCAGACUUCUGUCAGUGGUCAUAAUUACUAUAUCAGUUUCGUUGAUGCUUAUAGUCGCUUUACCUGGCUUUACCUUAUUAAACGCAAAUCUGAUGUGUUUGAUAUUUUUGUUCAGUUUUAA